RNAcentral lists this ribosomal RNA (583 nucleotides) under uncultured bacterium. RNAcentral's name for it is "bacterial SSU rRNA". It matches the Rfam family "Bacterial small subunit ribosomal RNA", at positions 337 to 917 of the family's 1533-position model. The record is from RNAcentral.
UCCUAUCGGAUUGCAGCAGUAAUGAAUAUUGGUCGAUUGAUGCACAGGUGGACCAGCCAUGCCGCGUGCAGGAUGACAGGCCCUAUGGGUUGUAAACUGCUUUUAUUCGGGAAUAAACCCCUUUUCGUGUAACGGGUUGAAUGUACCGAAGGAAUAAGGAUCGGCUAACUCCGUGCCAGCAGCCGCGGUAAUACGGAGGAUCCAAGCGUUAUCCGGAUUUAUUGGGUUUAAAGGGUGCGUAGGCGGCCUGUUAAGUCAGGGGUGAAAGACGGGGGCUCAACCAUCGCAGUGCCCUUGAUACUGAUGGGCUUGAUUACACUUGAGGUAGGCGGAAUGUGACAAGUAGCGGUGAAAUGCAUAGAUAUGUCACAAAACACCAAUUGCGAAGGCAGCUUACUAAAGUGAAAUUGACGCUGAGGCACGAAAGCGUGGGGAUCAAACAGGAUUAGAUACCCUGGUAGUCCACGCCCUAAACGAUGAAUACUCGAUGUUAGCGAUAUACAGUUAGCGUCUAAGCGAAAGCGUUAAGUAUUCCACCUGGGGAGUACGCCCGCAAGGGUGAAACUCAAAGAAUUUUGACGGA